Molecule: ribosomal RNA, 253 nt
Filed under: uncultured bacterium
Lineage: Bacteria
Description: partial 16S ribosomal RNA
Rfam family: Bacterial small subunit ribosomal RNA
Source: RNAcentral
UACGUAGGGUGCGAGCGUUAAUCGGAAUUACUGGGCGUAAAGUGUGCGCAGGCGGCCGAGCAAGUCGAGUGUGAAAGCCCCGAGCUUAACUUGGGAACUGCGCUCGAAACUACUUGGCUAGAGUGUGGCAGAGGGAGGUGGAAUUCCUCGUGUAGCGGUGAAAUGCGUAGAGAUGUGGAGGAACACCGAUGGCGAAGGCAGCCUCCUGGGCCAACACUGACGCUCAUGCACGAAAGCGUGGGGAGCAAACAGG